Thunnus maccoyii (southern bluefin tuna) is the source of this 2407-nucleotide long non-coding RNA. RefSeq lists it as uncharacterized. The transcript has 3 exons. Lineage: Eukaryota; Metazoa; Chordata; Actinopteri; Scombriformes; Scombridae. The record is from RefSeq and is a predicted model, not a curated record.
AAUAUAUCACAUUAUGGAAGUUACAGAUGCUCUAACUGCCAUUUCUCAGGGGUUUUAAAGAAGCAUUUGUUGUGUGUGUCAUCAUAUUUAAAAUAAAAGGAGGGGUGUUUUAUUCAUGGAGGGUUCUGUAGCCUCUACCAAAAUAUGUGUGGUACAGAAACCCUGCAGCCUCAUGUCAAGUUUGAUGGGAACAAGAAGUGAUGGGUCAAGUCCACCCAGCAAAGUCUGGGGUAUUGCAUCCACACAUUAAAUGUGUGUGUGUGGACAGGAACUUCAAAACACAUCAAUUGAUAAUGUCGUGGACUGGAUUUGAAUGGUGGAGUCAUCAGGUUGAUCCAGAAGGCAUCAAUGAUCCCAGAGGGGUGAGAGAGUACAGUGCUUCCGAACUGUGAUGAGGCAUCAGUUGGCAAGAUAUUUUUCUGAGUGGAGACGGAUUUUCUGCCUGACAUGUAAUAGCUACACCUGAUACCUUUACAAUUACUGUAUCACGCCCUGGAAACAUUCAGAGAAAAGGAGAAAACACUGGAUUCAGCAGUUAGAAACUACACACAAAAGCUGCAUUGAGUUUUCAGUUGUGUCCUUUUUCUGACUGUGAUACCCUCGGAGCACUGGAUGUGCUUUUAUAAAGAGAGGAUGUCGACAGCAAUUCAAAUUCACCUAAUGCAGACAUUUUCUUGUGUAUGGUAUGCGAGAGGUCUGUAAUAAAGGAAUUGAGCAAGAUAUAAAAGCUGUAUUUUGUUUGAAUAUUACUUCUCAGAAAAGGUCGGAACUUUAAAUAGGAGAAAUAUGACAUUUACAUGAAUACAAAAAAAUAGUAAUUUCCAAAACCAAUUUCCCACACGUACAGCUCAGCUUGAAGAGCUCAUAGCUGUAAUAUGAGGCCAAUGAAAUUAUUCAUUGAUUAAAAAAUGCCACACAAUACAAGGCCUCAAGCAAUAAACUUAUGAACCAAUGAGACUCAAAGGGCAACCAUGACAAACAAUGCUGCUGGGAUCCCACUCUCUAGUCAAUCCCAUGACUUUGCCUUAAGCCAAAAGUCAUGAAAUUACAGUUUGUUAUCAGGUGUAGGGGAGCCAACAUUUAGACAGCUUACCCCAAGAGCAGACACAUUACUAUUUUUAUCUCUCUAUUUGCUCAAAUUCACCAAAUUAGUCAUCUUUCACCGCAGGUAAAAAAACUGAUAUCUAUGUGUUUUAAACUUAAGGAGUUGUCAGAAUAUGGAAGCCUGGAAGCUAUGAUUUUAAGUUUAACAAUCCUCAUAACGAAGUAUAAAAUCGGAUUAGUCGCUUUUUACGUAAACCUGCGGUUAACCAACAACAGCAUAGAUGUUCAAAUGUCAUAGCCUGCAGUUCUUCACUCUGCAAAAGAAUAAAUGAGUGGAGACACAUGACAUAUGUCGAUCCUUCCGUACAGAUCCAGCGCACCAUAAUCCAGCCACUUGCUUUUUCUCACGGGAGACAUUUUAUAUGUAACAGCAGGAGAGGUACAGGUGCAAGUUAUAAAAUGAAUGAUGGCUGAAUUCCAUUUAGCUGCUUCAGUUUCAAGGUCCUGUUAUUGUGCAUGUUGGCUCACUGUCUAGUGGGACACGUGAAAGGAACAGAGCCGUCAUUAAUGCUAUACGUAACAACUAUGCUUUUCCUACUAUAGUAUAACAAGUCAAAAUGUCUGCUGUUAAAAAAAAGUAUCCAAUCUUUAUCUUAAAAGUAACACUAUCAUGGUGGAAAAUAUACUGCCAUACAAGUAAAAGUCUUGUCUUCAAAAUUGUACUUAAAGCAGCCAAAUGACAGCAUGUACAGAGGGUGUGUCCAAACUUUUGACUGUAUGUAAGAGGAGUUGCUCGCAGUUACAAACCCACAAAGAACUGUCACCCAAGUCUGCUGAUCAGUUUAGCUCAGCUUUUUAGCCUCCUUCAGCUCAUUGUUUUGGUUUCAAUCUAUGGUUCAGUCUCACCACUCUCAUCAGCAUCAUUUCCAGAUGCAGCAAGCAGCUGUGAGCUACCUGCCCAGCACCGCACAGCAGACAGACAAAGGUAGAGAAUAGCUGAUGAAGAUAGCAGAGAAUGUAGCAACUAAAGAGCCAAUUUCCUCAAGAGUUGGUGGAGAGUUAAACAGAGCUAAAAGAGGAAUGGGUAUUGGAUUUAAAUUCAUCAAGUGGCCACAAACAACUUCAAGUGAAUGCUAAUGUUGCUCUUUAUCUCCUAGUUGUGUAAAUAAGCAGUUGUUUGCGACUUAAAAUGUGAUAAUGCAGGAGUAAGUGAAAGUAAAUAUGCUUAUUAUGCAAGGGUCCAAUUCAGAGUGUUAUAUGCAUCAUACUAUGAUAUUAUACCCCAUUCAUUAACAUGUAAGCAGUAUUUUAAUAUUGUAGCUGGCUGAGAUUAAGCUAAAUUGAACUACUUACAGUUGGAUAG